GGUUAAGCGACUAAGCGUACACGGUGGAUGCCCUGGCAGUCAGAGGCGAUGAAGGACGUGCUAAUCUGCGAAAAGCGUCGGUAAGGUGAUAUGAACCGUUAUAACCGGCGAUGUCCGAAUGGGGAAACCCAGUGCAAUUCGUUGCACUAUCGUUAACUGAAUACAUAGGUUAACGAGGCGAACCGGGGGAACUGAAACAUCUAAGUACCCCGAGGAAAAGAAAUCAACCGAGAUUCCCCCAGUAGCGGCGAGCGAACGGGGAGCAGCCCAGAGUCUGAAUCAGCUUGUGUGUUAGUGGAACGGUCUGGAAAGUCCGACGGUACAGGGUGAUAGUCCCGUACACCAAAAUGCACAGGCUGUGAACUCGAAGAGUAGGGCGGGACACGUGGUAUCCUGUCUGAAUAUGGGGGGACCAUCCUCCAAGGCUAAAUACUCCUGACUGACCGAUAGUGAACCAGUACCGUGAGGGAAAGGCGAAAAGAACCCCGGCGAGGGGAGUGAAAAAGAACCUGAAACCGUGUACGUACAAGCAGUGGGAGCACCUUCGGGUGUGACUGCGUACCUUUUGUAUAAUGGGUCAGCGACUUAUAUUCUGUAGCAAGGUUAACCGUAUAGGGGAGCCGCAGGGAAACCGAGUCUUAACUGGGCGUUAAGUUGCAGGGUAUAGACCCGAAACCCGGUGAUCUAGCCAUGGGCAGGUUGAAGGUUGGGUAACACUAACUGGAGGACCGAACCGACUAAUGUUGAAAAAUUAGCGGAUGACUUGUGGCUGGGGGUGAAAGGCCAAUCAAACCGGGAGAUAGCUGGUUCUCCCCGAAAGCUAUUUAGGUAGCGCCUCGUGAAUUCAUCUUCGGGGGUAGAGCACUGUUUCGGCUAGGGGGUCAUCCCGACUUACCAACCCGAUGCAAACUACGAAUACCGAAGAAUGUUAUCACGGGAGACACACGGCGGGUGCUAACGUCCGUCGUGAAGAGGGAAACAACCCAGACCGCCAGCUAAGGUCCCAAAGUCAUGGUUAAGUGGGAAACGAUGUGGGAAGGCACAGACAGCCAGGAUGUUGGCUUAGAAGCAGCCAUCAUUUAAAGAAAGCGUAAUAGCUCACUGGUCGAGUCGGCCUGCGCGGAAGAUGUAACGGGGCUAAACCAUGCACCGAAGCUGCGGCAGCGACACUAUGUGUUGUUGGGUAGGGGAGCGUUCUGUAAGCCUGCGAAGG
This 1213-nucleotide ribosomal RNA is filed under the name Klebsiella pneumoniae. RNAcentral's name for it is "partial 23S ribosomal RNA". It matches the Rfam family "Bacterial large subunit ribosomal RNA", at positions 1 to 1256 of the family's 2925-position model. The record is from RNAcentral. Lineage: Bacteria; Pseudomonadati; Pseudomonadota; Gammaproteobacteria; Enterobacterales; Enterobacteriaceae.